RNAcentral lists this ribosomal RNA (498 nucleotides) under uncultured bacterium. Its description in RNAcentral is "partial 16S ribosomal RNA". It matches the Rfam family "Bacterial small subunit ribosomal RNA", at positions 28 to 508 of the family's 1533-position model. The record is from RNAcentral.
GAUGAACGCUGGCGGCGUGCCUAAUACAUGCAAGUCGAGCGAACAGACGAGGAGCUUGCUCCUCUGACGUUAGCGGCGGACGGGUGAGUAACACGUGGAUAACCUACCUAUAAGACUGGGAUAACUUCGGGAAACCGGAGCUAAUACCGGAUAAUAUAUUGAACCGCAUGGUUCAAUAGUGAAAGACGGUUUUGCUGUCACUUAUAGAUGGAUCCGCGCCGCAUUAGCUAGUUGGUAAGGUAACGGCUUACCAAGGCAACGAUGCGUAGCCGACCUGAGAGGGUGGGGGGCCAACACGGGACCGGACCCCGGCCCGGGCACACGGGGGGCGGAACAAGGGGGAAUUCUUCCGGAAAGGGGAAAGUUUGAAGGGAGAAACGCGGGGGGAGGAAUAAGGGUUUCAGUACCUAAAACCUUUUUUAUGGGAGAAAAACAAAUGGGGAAGUACCUAGGCAGGUCGGCAGGGUACCUAAUAAGAAAGCCAGGGCAACUCCGGGC